CCAUACAAACCAAGCCACAAAUGCACAUUCAGACAACAGUGUGGCUGCCAUCCUCUCUCAGCCUCCCCCCCCAAAAAAAUCCAAUGGGCAGGUGGUUGCCAUUGAAAACCUCUUUCCUGUCCAGGCAAGCAACAAGGCAAGAAGCAGCAGCUUAAGUCUAAUUUGGCCACCUCUCUUAGGGGUGAUAGGUGUGUUGCUCCCUGUGGCUUGUAUUAGAGUUGGCUGAAAUAAGCCCAGCUACUUAUUUAAGAACAAAACAAAAGCAGGAAGUAGCUGGGCUUUUAUCUCAGUAAAUCUAAAAUUGAUUCCCUAACUCUCUCACCCACUCCUGCACUGAUUUCUGGUGCUGUAGCAAUCUUGUUUGGCAGCAGAUGGGAAGCUUCAGGGAGACAUGUUUGAUAUGCUGCAUACUAAAACUGCACUAGUUGCAACAGGGGGGAGGCUAUUCCUGCAGCUGCUGCAGUACUUCUCUUAAUUUGUGGUUAAAGGAAAGCAGGUUUGUGUGGGUUUGACUUGUAAUACUUCAUAUAUCAACCCCCAGAACUCUUUAUUUCCACAGCUAGAAAGCUGAGUUUGAUUGCAUUGUUAUUCCUUAAGUGAUGCCCUCUAACUACUGAUUAUGAGGACUUAAAGCAAAUUUUGUCUAGGAAGUGUCCUAGCAGUGUAAACUGUUACAAACCAAUGCAGACUUUCAGACAUUGCUCAUUAAGUAGAACCUAUUUUACCUCUGAUAAUGCUUUAAGUUAUGUUGGAAGAGAUUGAAGCUUGGUUGCACUCUAAAAGAUUGUGGAUUUUGAUUGUGAGAGCAAAAGAGAUGAGAUAAACGAAAGGCUAUAUAACAAACCACAAUUUAUCCCCUCUGUAGAGCUCCAAAACUGUAAAAGCAACUCAUCAGCAUAUGGGUUAAAAGCCUAUUUCAAUCCUGUUCAUACAAAAGCAUAGAGGAUUUGAGUUAUAACUAGAGGUUUUAGAAAAAAAUUGUGUUUGCUUCUAGUGAAUUCCUAAAACAAUUGGUUGAUUUUCAAUAAUAAGCAAAUUUGCAUUCUGAAAUACUGAUGUGACAUGCAAAUCAUUAAGUGUUCAAGGAACUGUAUUUUUCUAAUUCCUUAUGCAAGUACAGCAUUUUCAAAAUUACUGUCUGAAGCCUUUUGUGCCAUUUGAUGAAUUAAAAAAACUUGCUAUUUCCAGUGUUAAAAAGGAGUUACCAGCUCCCUCAUCUACUGUUUAUAAAUUGAAGGGGUAUGUUUAUUUUUCCUCUGCUGAUGGCGCUUUGUUGUAAGACCCAUGCCCCUAGCCCUCAGUUGCACUUUAAUAAAGUCAGUUUUGAAGAAAA
Long non-coding RNA from Podarcis raffonei (Aeolian wall lizard), 1333 nucleotides. RefSeq lists it as uncharacterized. The record is from RefSeq and is a predicted model, not a curated record. NCBI's taxonomy places the organism in Eukaryota, Metazoa, Chordata, Lepidosauria, Squamata, Lacertidae. The transcript is spliced from 2 exons.